GGAGACCGCCGAGAUGGAUGGCGAUAAAGUCAGGGAAGGUCCAGGACUUUCCGGGCAGGCAGGGAGUUGGGCCCGAAAACCCAACAAAAGGAGCAGCCGCCGCAAGCAACCGCAAGGGGGAGAAGCUGGAAAACCCACGGAGCCCAGCAGGACUUGUUUUCUUUUUUGUCAUGUUACAAUUCUGCAGCGACAGCAGUAAAAAAUAAUGCCCCCCCCCGCCCCCAAGGCAACCGCAACUUGUGCAACAUCAUAAACCCAUUUGCGUUUUUAAUUAGUAACAUCGCAACUUGGCGGACUGAAGCGGCCGGGGGCGGAAAGCAAAUGACCAUGCACAAAAUGUUGCACUGAAACAGAUAGCCAGUCCUGGCUCCAUAAAACCGAAAAAAGAGCUGAAAAAGUGGAGCAAAUAAGUGCGAACCCAACUAGCCGGUGGUCAGUUCAUCCCCAUUGCCGUCAUAAAAGAGUCCGCCAACAAAGUUGAAAAGCUCAGCUCAAGUGGAGCAGCCUCCAGUCGGGAAUGGUUUCGGUUUUCGGACCCGCUGAUGGUCUCCGGUUUCCAGCUGCUCACUUUUUGUUUUUUAAUUUUUUAGCCCCUAUAUGGGGCAACGACCGAGGGUCACUGCGACUGACCAGUGGAGAGGAUUCCUUUGGGGAGGUGCUGACAAGUGUCCUUCAAGUGGGAGGGAUAACCCGCAGGAACGGCCUCGCUAAUUAAAGAGGGGUUCGACAAAAAGGAUUUGACGUCGAGAACGAAGAGAGCUACCUGUCUUAGGAAUCAGGAAGUGUUUUCGAUUGUCAGUCUAUCAAAAAAUACAUUUACAUACCCUUUAAUAUGAAACAUUUAAGAGCUUUUGCAUUUAAACUGGCGCAAAAAGA
This is a long non-coding RNA of Drosophila subpulchrella, 876 nucleotides long. RefSeq lists it as uncharacterized. Lineage: Eukaryota; Metazoa; Arthropoda; Insecta; Diptera; Drosophilidae. The record is from RefSeq and is a predicted model, not a curated record. The transcript has 3 exons.